AGCGUAGACGGAUGGACAAGUCUGAUGUGAAAGGCUGGGGCUCAACCCCGGGACUGCAUUGGAAACUGCCCGUCUUGAGUGCCGGAGAGGUAAGCGGAAUUCCUAGUGUAGCGGUGAAAUGCGUAGAUAUUAGGAGGAACACCAGUGGCGAAGGCGGCUUACUGGACGGUAACUGACGUUGAGGCUCGAAAGCGUGGGGAAGCAAACA
This 208-nucleotide ribosomal RNA is filed under the name uncultured bacterium. RNAcentral describes it as "partial 16S ribosomal RNA". It matches the Rfam family "Bacterial small subunit ribosomal RNA", at positions 568 to 774 of the family's 1533-position model. The record is from RNAcentral.